Molecule: ribosomal RNA, 270 nt
Filed under: uncultured archaeon
Lineage: Archaea
Description: partial 16S ribosomal RNA
Rfam family: Archaeal small subunit ribosomal RNA
Source: RNAcentral
CAGCACCUCAAGUGGUCAGGAUGAUUAUUGGGCCUAAAGCAUCCGUAGCCGGCGCUGUAAGUUUUCGGUUAAAUCUGUACGCUCAACGUACAGGCUGCCGGGAAUACUGCAGCGCUAGGGAGUGGGAGAGGUAGACGGUACUAGGUAGGAAGGGGUAAAAUCCUUUGAUCUAUUGAUGACCACCUGUGGCGAAGGCGGUCUACCAGAACACGUCCGACGGUGAGGGAUGAAAGCUGGGGGAGCAAACCGGAUUAGAUACCCGAGUAGUCC